UCUUAUGCAAAUCUAUAAUUACCAAGGAUCCAAUUGAAAGAUCCUCACUUGAUUCACUAAGAUUGGAACCAUGGUGCAAAUGCAUCAUAUGUGAUGAACUCAAACUAGCAUCCAAUGAAACUUAAUCAACCAAAUUAGUCAAGUAAGUUCAAGAUUGGUGGGAGGCUCCUCGUACAUAAGCAAUGAUCCUAAUUAAGUAACCACCAUUCUAUCACUUAUCUUAGACACCAAUUAAUCAAUCAAUUCUAAAUUGGUUUAGGUCAUUAGUUUUGGCCACCAC
This 280-nucleotide long non-coding RNA is filed under the name Elaeis guineensis (African oil palm). Its description in RNAcentral is "long non-coding RNA (EGUI_LNC056275)". The record is from RNAcentral. Lineage: Eukaryota; Viridiplantae; Streptophyta; Magnoliopsida; Arecales; Arecaceae.